GAUGAACGCUGACAGAAUGCUUAACACAUGCAAGUCUACUUGAACUUCGGUUUGGGUGGCGGACGGGUGAGUAACGCGUAAAGAACUUGCCUCACAGAUAGGGACAACAUUUGGAAACGAAUGCUAAUACCUGAUAUUAUGAUUUUAGGGCAUCCUAGAAUUAUGAAAGCUAUAUGCACUGUGAGAGAGCUUUGCGUCCCAUUAGCUAGUUGGAGAGGUAACGGCUCACCAAGGCGAUGAUGGGUAGCCGGCCUGAGAGGGUGAUCGGCCACAAGGGGACUGAGACACGGCCCUUACUCCUACGGGAGGCAGCAGUGGGGAAUAUUGGACAAUGGACCAAGAGUCUGAUCCAGCAAUUCUGUGUGCACGAUGAAGUUUUUCGGAAUGUAAAGUGCUUUCAGUUGGGAAGAAAAAAAUGACGGUACCAACAGAAGAAGUGACGGCUAAAUACGUGCCAGCAGCCGCGGUAAUACGUAUGUCACAAGCGUUAUCCGGAUUUAUUGGGCGUAAAGCGCGUCUAGGUGGUUAUGUAAGUCUGAUGUGAAAAUGCAGGGCUCAACUCUGUAUUGCGUUGGAAACUGUGUAACUAGAGUACUGGAGAGGUAAGCGGAACUACAAGUGUAGAGGUGAAAUUCGUAGAUAUUCGUAGGAAUGCCGAUGGGGAAGCCAGCUUACUGGACAGAUACUGACGCUGAAGCGCGAAAGCGUGGGUAGCAAACAGG
RNAcentral lists this ribosomal RNA (722 nucleotides) under uncultured Fusobacterium sp. RNAcentral describes it as "bacterial SSU rRNA". It matches the Rfam family "Bacterial small subunit ribosomal RNA", at positions 28 to 776 of the family's 1533-position model. The record is from RNAcentral. Lineage: Bacteria; Fusobacteriati; Fusobacteriota; Fusobacteriia; Fusobacteriales; Fusobacteriaceae.